GAACUUGCACAUUUCGGUACGGAUACAGCUAUAAUCUUCUAUAAUGUAGUUAUGCUCUCGGUAUAGAUUGAUGAGAGCAUUGUAAACAGCGCUGUAUUCGGCUUCAGAGUUGUCGGACAGAGAAUUUCCAAUGCCAACCACUUUCUGCAACCUGCUUUCUUCUGCAACUACUGGGACGUCAAAGGAAACAACAUACUGCUAUUUCUCUAAGCAUGGUGAU
Molecule: long non-coding RNA, 220 nt
Filed under: Setaria italica (foxtail millet)
Lineage: Eukaryota; Viridiplantae; Streptophyta; Magnoliopsida; Poales; Poaceae
Description: long non-coding RNA (SITA_LNC001455)
Source: RNAcentral